Nanorana parkeri is the source of this 244-nucleotide long non-coding RNA. RefSeq lists it as uncharacterized. The transcript is spliced from 3 exons. The record is from RefSeq and is a predicted model, not a curated record. NCBI's taxonomy places the organism in Eukaryota, Metazoa, Chordata, Amphibia, Anura, Dicroglossidae.
AAACAUGGGAGGAGCCGGAGGAAUGCAGGACCAGAUGAGGUCAAAGUGCAGCCGAGACAGACAAUGGAGCAACUCCCGAGUCUUGUAGCUGUUCUCAGUAUGCCGAACGUGUGAAACGAGCCAAUGAGAACAGCCGGGGGGAAGCGCAGUGGUGCGAUCACUGGAUAAGUUAUUCUUCGAUAUUCAACCUUCCGAAAAGUUUUUUUUUUCCUUUUUGUUUUUAAAUAUUUUUUUGUCGGGGAAA